AUUUUUUCCCUGGGUUUAGAUCCCUUGUUUUCAGAAAUGUGGUUGCAAAUAAUGAGGGCUAGAAAGUUAUUUCCUGGUAAGAGGAAGCUUGGCUCCACAGUUUUCCCAGGUUCCCUCAUGCUUCUGACACAUGCAGAGCUCUUGCCUGUUUCUUAAUAGUAUGCAGCAGCCGGAGUCAGGCUACUUCAUCCUAUUGAGCCAUAGGUUCCCAUAAGAAGGAAGGUUCUCCCAGAGGAUGGUCAAAUAAACAGAACCCUCAUCUGGAUUCUAGAAUGUUAAAUAUAUUGUUGGGUAUAGAUACUCCUGACCAUGAGAAGCAUGGAACCUACUGCAGUUUCCAUGGCAACCAUCUGAAAGCUACAGAGGACUAUGGAGGGUUCAGCAUUUAUCACAGAAGAAGUGGAAAUCAGGAGUCCUGUACUUUUCAAUAUAUCAUAAGUGAGGAACCACUUUCCAUAUCUUGUUGGACUCCAACCCCAUCAGCUCCAGUUAGCAUGCAUGGCCAAUGGUAGGUAAUGGUUGUAGACCUGCCAUAUCUGAAGGAGUGGUUUCCUUAUGCUAUCAUUUAGUAGGAAUGUAUUGCCUGUGGAAUCACCAAGGAUGGUGCAUAAAGAAAGCUUGGAAGAGG
RNAcentral lists this long non-coding RNA (628 nucleotides) under Pogona vitticeps (central bearded dragon). RNAcentral describes it as "lncRNA (ENSPVIG00000006891.1)". The record is from RNAcentral. Lineage: Eukaryota; Metazoa; Chordata; Lepidosauria; Squamata; Agamidae.